RNAcentral lists this ribosomal RNA (222 nucleotides) under Triticum aestivum (bread wheat). Its description in RNAcentral is "partial small subunit ribosomal RNA". Lineage: Eukaryota; Viridiplantae; Streptophyta; Magnoliopsida; Poales; Poaceae. The record is from RNAcentral.
AUGAAUUGCCUAGUGUGGAACUGUCGGGGCGCGGGGAACCCUCGUAUACUUCACGAUCUAAAGGCUAUAUGUAGGGCCAAUUCCCCGAGGAUGGUGUUUUUGUGUGAGACUAGAAAUCAGGUGCAAAAGAUGAAAAGGUUGCGUAACAGGCUCGGGCUGCGCGGUUUUGAGGGCAUAAGCAGUCAAGGAAAGAGUGGUGGCCUAGCUUUGCUUUGGGAUGAA